UGGCAACACUGUAGCGCAAGUUGUUGUAACAGCUGAUUUCCGACUUUUGAAAUUGAUUAUUAUAAUUUGAAUUUGUAUUGUUCAUUAUGUUAAUAGGAACUAAAGAAAUAGUUUAUUUUGGAAUGAAUAAAGUAAUUCCAGAAGUACCCUCAGAGAUAUUGAUGGAUGAAAAUGGAUGAAAAUAAGCUGUAAAGAAGAAGACAUCUACUUGCGCUUAAAGCAAUUGAAUGGCAAUUAUGAAAUACAAUUUGACCAAUCGUCGCAGUCAACGUCACAAUGGGAGGUAUUGUGUUUUCGGUCCACGUGACGGGCUCGUGGGUUUUUCGAUCGUGGCAUUCCUGAAUUAAAUUGGAAGAAGAUCGUCCGAGAGAUCGCCGGGAAAACUUUUCUGGAUAACAUAGAAGAAGUUUUUUGAUCAACAAAUCAUGGGAUGUGCCGCAUCGAAAUCGACUGCAGCGUCUAACGGUGGGUCGCAGGAACCAGUUCCUAAACCUGUAGCCUUUGAAAUUCCUAUGGAAGAAAAUGAAAGCGUGGUGAAGAAACAUCCGCCUAAACGGUUACAGAAAUUAGAAGAACAAGCUCAACAAAGUUCCAUUAAGAUAGCGGAUAUCGAAGAAAAACAGCAGAAAGCAGAAGAAAGGAGACAAGAAAUUUUACAAGAAAGAAUACGAAGUUCAAAGAAGGUUCAAAAAAUGUUUGAAAAAGGCCGAGAGAAAACUGAUGAGAUGGAACAGGUCAAUUUUGAUCUUAAACUAUUGACAUAGCGAUCGUAAAAUAACGGAGGAAGGAUGUAACUCAGGAGAAAACCCUGAAUGAUGUGUCCUGGUAAUUGGCACCUUUCUUUUCAAAACUCGUGGUGCUCGUUAACAUUACAUCGUCAGGUUUUACUAUGUUAAAAUCAUUGUAAACAUAAACUAACAUUCGGAACAACAACAACUUUUUAUGGUGCCUUAUGUUACCCUUAGGUUAUUGCUGCAAAUACGCUUUUAAUAAUCAUACAUGGAACAAUAUCAGCACCUAACUUCCAGUAUGGCACGGAUAUUUAUAACUUGUAAAUAAUAAAGAAGUUUAAACUUUUAAAAAAAAAUCUUUAGAAUUUAUUUUCCUUCAGUGAAAACUGACAUUCCGUGGAAAUUUCCUGCGGAUGCCCAUGCCUCUAGCUUGUUAAAAGUUACACGAUAAAUUGUCUUGAAAAUCGUUUCCAAAAAGUCCUUGUGUCCAAUCUCCAUGUAUUUUUCUUCAACUACAUUAACAAAAUUAGUACAUCUACACUUCUUUUGGGACGAAAAGGGUGCGAGGAACUUUUGACUCAUCCUGUAUAUACUGGUGUAACAAAGGUUUGCCUUGUAAGGAGGAUCCUGCUAAGCUCAGCAAUCUCUAGGCCAAUUGCAGAGAGACAACGUUUCUUGCUUGCCACAGUUUAGAUAAAAAUGGAUAUCGUUCCUAUGUAAUAAAACACGAAUGAUACACAGUAAAAUCUGUAAUUAUCAGAAAAUUGCCCAUUUCAAACCUAGAUAAACAUCUAAAAUUCAUUAUUAUGUAAUGUGAGUUUUUUUUUUUUUUCUUACUCCAAACAAAUUUCCAUCGUUUAACAUCUUACAACUCUCGUUUUGACUCAUCACACCAAAUAACAUGUUUUCAAAACUCCGAGGGCUUGUCCACAAAUAUUUUGCCAAAAGCUAAACCAUUUUCCUGAUUCACUGUUGAAAUCAUUGAUUUUCUAUGAGAUAUUCUGCCGGGAUAUCAUUUUUAUUUAAUAUUCUUUUAAUAGUUAAAACACUGGCUUGAAGAUCAAGAUUUUCUUUUAUUUUUUCUGCUGUUAUAAAGGGAUUUUGGUGAUUCCGUGGCAAAUCAUGGCAAUUUCUUUUGUUGUUCCCUUAGGGCGGUGUCUUUCUGUGGUAGAUUUCUCAAUGUAUUGUUGUUUAAAUACUGGACCACUAUUAUUUUUAUUCCAUCUCGUGAUAUUUUAUGCGUUCUUUGCAAUAAAAUCACCACUUUCUUGCUCGUGUACACUCUGCACUCUCUUCAAGAUCGAAGAUUAAAUUCUCUCUCCUUUGGCCUACUUUCUUAUUGAUACUAAAACACUAU
Centruroides sculpturatus (bark scorpion) is the source of this 2088-nucleotide RNA transcript. It is a transcript of the gene named stathmin domain-containing protein 1-like, with no coding region annotated. The transcript is spliced from 8 exons. The record is from RefSeq and is a predicted model, not a curated record. Lineage: Eukaryota; Metazoa; Arthropoda; Arachnida; Scorpiones; Buthidae.